RNAcentral lists this ribosomal RNA (395 nucleotides) under uncultured bacterium. RNAcentral's name for it is "partial 16S ribosomal RNA". It matches the Rfam family "Bacterial small subunit ribosomal RNA", at positions 360 to 773 of the family's 1533-position model. The record is from RNAcentral.
AAUAUUGCACAAUGGGGGAAACCCUGAUGCAGCGACGCCGCGUGAGCGAAGAAGGCCUUCGGGUCGUAAAGCUCUGUCCUAAGGGAAGAAACGGACGGUACCUUAGGAGGAAGCCCCGGCUAACGACGUGCCAGCAGCCGCGGUAAUCCCUAGGGGGCGAUCGUUAUCCGGAAUUACUGGGCGUAAAGGGUUCGUAGGCAGCCUUUUAAGCACGGUGUGAAAGGCUACGGCUUAACCGUAGUUAGCAUUUGAAACUAAAAGGCUUGAGUGCAGGAGAGGAGAGUGGAAUUCCUAGUGUAGCGGUGAAAUGCGUAGAUAUUAGGAGGAACACCAGUGGCGAAGGCGACUCUCUGGACUGCAACUGACGCUGAGGCACGAAAGCGUGGGGAGCGAAC